GACGAACGCUGGCGGCGUGCUUAACACAUGCAAGUCGAGCGGUAAGGCCUUUCGGGGUCCACGAGCGGCGAACGGGUGAGUAACACGUGGGUGAUCUGCCCUGCACUUCGGGAUAAGCCUGGGAAACUGGGUCUAAUACCGGAUAUGACCUCCUAUCGCAUGGUGGGUGGUGGCAAGAUUUAUCGGUGCAGGAUGGGCCCGCGGCCUAUCAGCUCGUUGGUGGGGUAAUGGCCUACCAAGGCGACGACGGGUAGCCGACCUGAGAGGGUGACCGGCCACACUGGGACUGAGACACGGCCCAGACUCCUACGGGAGGCAGCAGUGGGGAAUAUUGCACAAUGGGCGAAAGCCUGAUGCAGCGACGCCGCGUGAGGGAUGACGGCCUUCGGGUUGUAAACCUCUUUCAGCAGGGACGAAGCGCAAGUGACGGUACCUGCAGAAGAAGCACCGGCUAACUACGUG
Molecule: ribosomal RNA, 462 nt
Filed under: uncultured bacterium
Lineage: Bacteria
Description: partial 16S ribosomal RNA
Rfam family: Bacterial small subunit ribosomal RNA
Source: RNAcentral